This 497-nucleotide ribosomal RNA is filed under the name uncultured bacterium. RNAcentral describes it as "partial 16S ribosomal RNA". It matches the Rfam family "Bacterial small subunit ribosomal RNA", at positions 28 to 507 of the family's 1533-position model. The record is from RNAcentral.
GAUGAACGCUGGCGGCGUGCCUAAUACAUGCAAGUCGAGCGAACAGAUGAGGAGCUUGCUCCUCUGACGUUAGCGGCGGACGGGUUAGUAACACGUGGAUAACCUACCUAUAAGACUGGGAUAACUUCGGUAAACCGGAGCUAAUACCGGAUAAUAUAUUGAACCGCAUGGUUCAAUAGUGAAAGACGGUUUUGCUGUCACUUAUAGAUGGAUCCGCGCCGCAUUAGCUAGUUGGUAAGGUAACGGCUUACCAAGGCAACGAUGCGUAGCCGACCUGAGAGGGUGAUCGGCCACACUGGAACUGAGACACGGUCCAGACUCCUACGGGAGGCAGCAGUAGGGAAUCUUCCGCAAAGGGCGAAAGACUGACGGAGCAACGCCGCGUGAGUGAUGAAGGUCUUCGGAUCGUAAAACUCUGUUAUUAGGGAAGAACAAAUGUGUAAGUAACUAUGCACGUCUUGACGGUACCUAAUCAGAAAGCCACGGCUAACUACGUG